UUCCAUGGCCAUGCCACCCUAAAUAAGCCUGAUAAAGCCUGAUUUUGGAAGCUAAGCAGGGUUGGGGUUGGUCAGCACUUGGAUGGGAGACCACCUAGGAAGACCAGGUGCUGUAAGAG
Molecule: ribosomal RNA, 119 nt
Filed under: Pteropus vampyrus (large flying fox)
Lineage: Eukaryota; Metazoa; Chordata; Mammalia; Chiroptera; Pteropodidae
Source: RNAcentral